UAUGUUUUAGUAUACGAUGUAUAAAGAUUUUUGAUAUCUUGGGAAAUAGUUUGACUCUAUUAAACAUAA
RNAcentral lists this transfer RNA (69 nucleotides) under Trachys troglodytiformis. Its description in RNAcentral is "tRNA-Gln". Lineage: Eukaryota; Metazoa; Arthropoda; Insecta; Coleoptera; Buprestidae. The record is from RNAcentral.